Small nuclear RNA from Lacerta agilis (Sand lizard), 122 nucleotides. RefSeq annotates it as U11 spliceosomal RNA. The transcript has a single exon. Lineage: Eukaryota; Metazoa; Chordata; Lepidosauria; Squamata; Lacertidae. The record is from RefSeq and is a predicted model, not a curated record.
CCUAAGGGCUUCUGCUGUGAGUGGCACAUGGAGAGGGGUGGCUGCGGCUUUGCCUCUUUCUGUGCAGAAUCGCUAUCAAGAGAUUUCGGAAGCAUAAUUUUUGUGCUCGGGAAGUAUUUUUG